Molecule: ribosomal RNA, 472 nt
Filed under: uncultured bacterium
Lineage: Bacteria
Description: partial 16S ribosomal RNA
Rfam family: Bacterial small subunit ribosomal RNA
Source: RNAcentral
GACGAACGCUGGCGGCGUGCUUAACACAUGCAAGUCGAACGCUGAAGCUUGGUGCUUGCACUGGGUGGAUGAGUGGCGAACGGGUGAGUAAUACGUGAGUAACCUGCCCUUGACUCUGGGAUAAGCCUGGGAAACUGGGUCUAAUACUGGAUAUGACAUGCCACUGCAUGGUGGUGUGUGGAAAGGGUUUUACUGGUUUUGGAUGGGCUCACGGCCUAUCAGCUUGUUGGUGGGGUAAUGGCCUACCAAGGCGACGACGGGUAGCCGGCCUGAGAGGGUGACCGGCCACACUGGGACUGAGACACGGCACAGACUCAUACGGGAGGCAGCAGUGGGGAAUAUUGCACAAUGGGCGGAAGCCUGAUGCAGCGACGCCGCGUGAGGGAUGACGGCCUUCGGGUUGUAAACCUCUUUCAGCACGGAAGAAGCGAGAGUGACGGUACGUGCAGAAGAAGCGCCGGCUAACUACGUG